GACUCUCGGCAACGGAUAUCUCGGCUCUCGCAUCGAUGAAGAACGUAGCGAAAUGCGAUACUUGGUGUGAAUUGCAGAAUCCCGUGAACCAUCGAGUCUUUGAACGCAAGUUGCGCCCGAAGCCUUCAGGCCGAGGGCACGCCUGCCUGGGCGUCACAC
Molecule: ribosomal RNA, 159 nt
Filed under: Cotoneaster frigidus
Lineage: Eukaryota; Viridiplantae; Streptophyta; Magnoliopsida; Rosales; Rosaceae
Description: 5.8S ribosomal RNA
Rfam family: 5.8S ribosomal RNA
About the family: 5.8S ribosomal RNA (5.8S rRNA) is a component of the large subunit of the eukaryotic ribosome. It is transcribed by RNA polymerase I as part of the 45S precursor that also contains 18S and 28S rRNA.
Source: RNAcentral